AAAUGACUUAAGAGGCAACUCUUAACUGGCCAGGUAAGGAAAAGCCGAGAGGUUCAAGCUUAUCGGGCAGAAAGCUCUGCAAAGUAGCGCUUAACAUAGCAGGGUAGCGGGUUCGGCGGUAGCGCAUACAACGACGAACCAA
Molecule: non-coding RNA, 142 nt
Submitted as: unclassified sequences
Source: Rfam